RNAcentral lists this ribosomal RNA (22 nucleotides) under Pisolithus albus. RNAcentral's name for it is "partial 18S ribosomal RNA". The record is from RNAcentral. Lineage: Eukaryota; Fungi; Basidiomycota; Agaricomycetes; Boletales; Pisolithaceae.
GGGGGNUGCGGAAGGAUCAUUA